GAGGUCCCAAGCGUUGUUCGGAUUCACUGGGCGUAAAGGGUGCGUAGGUGGUGAGGUAAGUCGGAUGUGAAAGCUCGGAGCUCAACUCCGAAAUGGCAUUGGAAACUACCUUGCUCGAGGGUUGGAGGGGGGACUGGAAUACUUGGUGUAGCAGUGAAAUGCGUAGAUAUCAAGUGGAACACCAGUGGCGAAGGCGAGUCCCUGGACAACUCCUGACACUGAGGCACGAAAGCUGGGGGAGCAAACAGGAUUAGAUACCCUGGUAGUCCUAGCCGUAAACGGUGCACGUUUGCUGUAAAAGGAAUCGACCCCUUUUGUGGCGGAGCCAACGCGUUAAACGUGCCGCCUGGAAAGUACGGUCGCAAGAUUAAACUUCAAAGAAAUUGACGGGGGCCUGCACAAGCGGUGGAGUAUGUGGCUCAAUUCGAUGCAACGCGAAGAACCUUACCUGGCCUUGACAUGCAUAUAGUAGAAGGUGAAAGCCUGACGAGGUAGCAAUACCAGUAUGCACAGGUGCUGCAUGGCUGUCGUCAGCUCGUGUCGUGAGGUGUUGGGUUAAGUCCCGCAACGAGCGCAACCCCUGUGUCCUGCUGCCACCCCGGCGUGAGUCGGGAGCACUCUGGACAGACUGCCUCGCUUAAACGAGGAGGAAGGUGGGGAUGACGUCAAGUCAGUAUGGCCCUUACGGCCAGGGCUGCACACGUACUACAAUGCCCGGCACAAAGGGAAGCGAGACCGUAAGGUGGAGCAAAUCCCCAAAAACCGG
This 766-nucleotide ribosomal RNA is filed under the name uncultured Verrucomicrobia subdivision 3 bacterium. RNAcentral describes it as "bacterial SSU rRNA". It matches the Rfam family "Bacterial small subunit ribosomal RNA", at positions 528 to 1285 of the family's 1533-position model. The record is from RNAcentral. Lineage: Bacteria; Pseudomonadati; Verrucomicrobiota; Verrucomicrobiia; Limisphaerales.